AUACGGAGGGUGCAAGCGUUAAUCGGAAUUACUGGGCGUAAAGCGCUCGUAGGCGGCUUGUAAAGUCGGAUGUGAAAUCCCCGGGCUUAACCUGGGACGGUCAUUCAAUACUGCCUGUCUAGAGUACAGUAGAGGAAAGUGGAAUUUCCGGUGUAGCGGUGAAAUGCGUAGAUAUCGGAAGGAACACCUGUGGCGAAGGCGGCUAGCUGGGCCGGUUCUGACACUAAACUGCGAAAGCGUGGGGAGCAAACAGGAUUAGAAACCCCAGUAGUCC
This 274-nucleotide ribosomal RNA is filed under the name uncultured bacterium. RNAcentral describes it as "partial 16S ribosomal RNA". It matches the Rfam family "Bacterial small subunit ribosomal RNA", at positions 523 to 796 of the family's 1533-position model. The record is from RNAcentral.